AGCAGCCGCGGUAAUUCCAGCUCCAAUAGCGUAUAUUAAAGUUGUUGCAGUUAAAAAGCUCGUAGUUGAAUUUCGGGAUCAAUUGAUCGGUCGUGCCUCUGGUACGCACUGGUUUUAUGGUUUCUCCCUUCUGACGAACCAGGAUGUCAUUAAUUUGGUGUCUUGGAGAAUCAGGACUGUUACUUUGAAAAAUUAGAGUGUUUAAAGCAGGCUAACGCUUGAAUACAUUAGCAUGGAAUAAUGAAAUAGGACGUUUGAUCCUAUUUUGUUGGUUUCUAGGAUCGACGUAAUGAUUAAUAGGGAUAGUUGGGGC
This 313-nucleotide ribosomal RNA is filed under the name uncultured Glomus. Its description in RNAcentral is "SSU rRNA". It matches the Rfam family "Eukaryotic small subunit ribosomal RNA", at positions 569 to 888 of the family's 1831-position model. Lineage: Eukaryota; Fungi; Glomeromycota; Glomeromycetes; Glomerales; Glomeraceae. The record is from RNAcentral.